AAUGUCUGGGAAACUGCCCGAUGGGGGGGGAUAACUACUGGAAACGGUAGCUAAUACCGCAUAAUGUCGCAAGACCAAAGAGGGGGACCUUCGGGCCUCUUGCCAUCGGAUGUGCCCAGAUGGGAUUAGCUAGUAGGUGGGGUAACGGCUCACCUAGGCGACGAUCCCUAGCUGGUCUGAGAGGAUGACCAGCCACACUGGAACUGAGACACGGUCCAGACUCCUACGGGAGGCAGCAGUGGGGAAUAUUGCACAAUGGGCGCAAGCCUGAUGCAGCCAUGCCGCGUGUAUGAAGAAGGCCUUCGGGUUGUAAAGUACUUUCAGCGAGGAGGAAGGC
This 337-nucleotide ribosomal RNA is filed under the name Citrobacter sp. wls708. RNAcentral describes it as "bacterial SSU rRNA". It matches the Rfam family "Bacterial small subunit ribosomal RNA", at positions 112 to 452 of the family's 1533-position model. Lineage: Bacteria; Pseudomonadati; Pseudomonadota; Gammaproteobacteria; Enterobacterales; Enterobacteriaceae. The record is from RNAcentral.